UACGUAGGGGGCAAGCGUUGUCCGGAAUCAUUGGGCGUAAAGAGCGUGUAGGCGGCCCGAUAAGUCCGCUGUGAAAGUCCAGGGCUCAACCCUGGGAUGCCGGUGGAUACUGUCGGGCUCGAGUCCGGAAGAGGCGAGUGGAAUUCCUGGUGUAGCGGUGAAAUGCGCAGAUAUCAGGAGGAACACCGAUGGCGAAGGCAGCUCGCUGGGACGGUACUGACGCUGAGACGCGAAAGCGUGGGGAGCAAACAGG
Molecule: ribosomal RNA, 253 nt
Filed under: uncultured bacterium
Lineage: Bacteria
Description: partial 16S ribosomal RNA
Rfam family: Bacterial small subunit ribosomal RNA
Source: RNAcentral